RNAcentral lists this long non-coding RNA (4282 nucleotides) under Olea europaea subsp. europaea. Lineage: Eukaryota; Viridiplantae; Streptophyta; Magnoliopsida; Lamiales; Oleaceae. The record is from RNAcentral.
CCCAUAUCUAGACAAAUUUUUGGGCAAUUAAUAGGUGCAUCUUCGAGCUGUAACCAGGAAGCCGACGCCAUUCUCAGGAAGAAUUCCGAAAUUUGCACUUACCAAUAAUGGUAGACAAAUGUAUUCUCCCAUCUUCUUUCUUGGGUUGUCAAUUUCUUAGCUUCUCUAUGUCUCCACACACAUGAAAGUAGCUCAUUCAUGGCUGCCCUAAUCCUCAUUCAUGGCUGCCCAAAAAUAAUCGCGUUUUAUUACUCUCUUCAUUUUUGCAUCUUCAUUUUUUUGGAUUUCUUCUUCAGCACAAAGUAUAAGUCUUGCUUACAUAAAUUGUUCCCGUUUAUGCUUUGUCCUUGUACAAGUUGCUAUUUUGUUUAUUGGGUGGGUAAGCAAUUGACCAGGCUGCAAUGGAGGAGGGUUAGCUUAAACUUGCGUUCAGUUUUGCAUGCCGUAUGUUGAGUUUUGUUUAAGGUUCUAACUUCUUUUGUGAAUGAUCUGUUUUAAUUGUUUUUUGUGCAUAGUCUAUGUUGGAAAAUUAGGGUGCUCCAAAUAUUGGGAUUAAAAUUAAAUUCAACAGAAUUGGCUUUGUUUUGAUAUUCAUUUGGCUGCACUAGAAAUUGUAAUUUUGAUUAUCUCCAUGCAUAUAUCUUUGUUGUUUUCUGUACAUAAAUAGACACGGUUAUGGUGUUAACGAGCACUACUAACUUAUACAUCUCUCAAUUUUUACGCUACUCAGGAAAAUAAAUAAUAGAAGAUGAUAAUCAUGAGUUGUUGGUCGACUAUGUGACGAGAAUAUGCAGGAUAAUUUGAACACAUUGGGCAAUGAGAACAUAGGAGGAGAUGUUGCGAAUCCACCUGAAGUGGGCAUGAUGUUUAAUGACGAGAAAGAAAUGUUGGAGUUCUACAAAAGAUAUGCUUACGUUGUAGGCUUUCCAGUUCGAAGAAGGAAUUCAAAAAAGGGUGAUGAUGGAGUUAUGAGAUAUGUGAUGUUCACGUGUAGUCGUGAAGGUUGAAGAAAUUAUGCUACAGGCAGUUCCAUGAAGCCGCAACCAAAAUGUCAAACAGACUAUAAAGUAAGAAUAUUUGCAUCGUUAGAUAAUCUUGGAAUUCGGAGAAUUAACAAAGUAUACCUUGAGCAUAAUCAUAACACAAGUCCCACGAAGUUUAGAUUGUACUGAUGCAACUGAAGUUUGAGUGUGAGUGUGAAGCGAAAACUCGAAAUGAAUGAUAUGGCAGGAAUCUCCUUACAAAAGAGUUACAAUUUUGCAGUUGUGGAAGCCGGUGGAUAUGAGAAUAUGACUUUUGUGGAAAGGGAUUGUCGGAAUUAUGUUGAAGAAGUGAGACGAUUACAUCUUGGAGAAGGAGAUGCCAUCGCAUUACAGGCAUACUGGUGCUCGAUAUUUUUCUUUAGUAUGGAUUUAGAUGAUGAGUCAAGACUAAAGAAUGUUUUCUGGGUAGAUAAUAGAUGUAGGCAAGUUUACAAAGAAUUAGGUGAUGUUGUCACUUUCGAUACUGCGUACCUCACAAACAAGUACGACAUGCCCUUCACCUCAUUUGUUGGGGUAAAUCAUCAUGGACAAAGUACACUGUUCGGCUGUGGGUUGUUAUUAAAUGAGGACACAGGGACUUUUGUGUGGUUAUUCAGAACAUGACUUGAGUGCAUUAUGGUGAAGCUCCUAGUGGAAUCAUUACUGAUCAAGACUAGGCAAUGCAAAAUGCCAUUGAGAUUGUUUUGCCUACAACGAAGUACAAAUGGUGUUUGUGGCACAUUAUAAAAAAAUUGCCAGAAAAAUUUGGCUACCACAUUCAAAAAAGCUCGAUUUUCGCUGCUAUACAUAGAUUGGUAUAUGAUUCAGAUAUUGUUGAAGAAUUCAAACAAGGUUGGAGAACGAUGCUCGCCACAUAUGAUUUAUAUGAUAGUAAUUGGUUAUCGAUAUUGUACGAGAAUAAGGAUCGUUGGGUUCCAUGUUAUUUGAAGACCACAUUUUGGGCAGGGAUGUCAACAACCCAACGUUUGGAGAGUAUAAAUGCAUUUUUUUAUAGGUAAGUGCAUUCAAAAACCUCGUUGAAGCAAUUCGUAGAACAAUAUGUUUGAGCACUAAGAAGUAAGGUUGAAAAGGAGUUCCAAGUCGAUUUCAAGUCCUUUUCCCAAAUGGUGCUUUGUGCAACAUAUUUUGAGAUGGAAAAGCAAUUUCAAAUGGUCUAUACCAUUAUGAAGUUUAAAGAAUUUCAACAAGAGUUAACUGGAAAUGUAUAUUGUGACAUCUUAUUUAAAAAUACCAUUGAUUAUUUUUCGACGACCUACGAUGUGCGAGAAUAUGUCGUAUAUCAGGAGCAUAGGAAAAACAAAAACUUUUUACGGGUCAUUUCGGAGGGAGUCAUGCGAAUUGAGUUGUAGUUGCCACUUGUUUGAGUUUUGUGAUAUCCUUUGCAGGCAUGCGAUCACAGUAUUGAUUCGCAACAACAUUACGACGAUGCGAGAUAGGUACAUACUCAAAAGAUGGAAGAGAGAUGUAAGUAGAACACCCUCAAGGGUUGUGAUAAAUUAGCGAUAAAUUAUGACGGACUGGUGAGUACCCCCAGCAGAUGAGAUAUGAUGACAUGUGUUCGAGCUUUUCAGAGGUCGCAGACCUCGUGACAAACGACAAUGGGUUAACAUGUAAUGUAAUGGAUUAGAUAAAAUCUCAAACAUCAUAUUUGCGGAUGUCGAUAUCGAAUAUUGGAAGCACUAGCCGUCCGCUAAAUAAUGCGAACUUGCCCUCAACUUGUAACAAUUCACAAAAUACUAGUAGUGCCAGCAUAUUAGACCCUGUAUUGUCUGGCCGAAAGGGUGCGCCAACGAAACGUCGGCGGAAAGGCCCAUUGGAGAAGAUAUUUUUCAUAGUUAUCCUCUUAAUAUAUUGCGAAUUAUAGGCCACAAAAUGAUUAUUUUUAAUGAUGAACUUGUAGACCACUUCAGCAUCAAAUAAGGGAAAAAUAUCGUGAGCUAGGCCUCGUUGUACACAAGAGGGAGCAACAAUUGUCCAUGCAUCUCAAACAUCACAGUGUUUUGUGCCCUCGCCAUUUUCAUAUUCACAGCACCCAUUGGUGAGUACAUUGUAUUAGUGCGGCUACUUGGUUGAAGUUGCUAAAAAUUGUGUUUUCUCAUGUAGGCUUACAAUGUCAGUCAAACCUUGCCACCAACAAAUAUUAUAGUCAAUACUGGAGGUAAUACAUUGGUCAGGUAUUGUAGGUAUUUAUGUAUGAUCAUUUCAUUUAUUGCGACAUUGUAGCUGCUAUCUUUUCACUUAGAUCAUGUCAUGCCAUACUACUAUCAACAUUUGCCCAAUGAAGGUCACACACGCUUGUGACUCUUUGAUUGAAGGAAUGUUUCAUUUGUCCUCGGAUGGUUUAAAUUUUUACCAAAUCUAUGUUUCUAGUUUAUGAAGCAUCAAUUAGUCAUUAAAUCACUAAUAUAUAAUAGUUUCUGCCCUUAUCAUUAUUUGGUAACAAAUAAGGUGUAUGCCCUUGUUGGAAGUUAAAUUUAAUUUUUCGAAGGAUAUCCAUUUCCAACAUGUUUACACUAUUAAUAUUUUGUCAGAUUUGUAUAUCCCAUUAUUCACUCAACAAUAUUUGUCCUUAUUACAGCUGGCCUAUGGAAUCUUCUUCUCUUUUGAAUAAAUUUCUAUUAUAUAUUUCUUGUCAUUGAAUUAAUGAUUGAUUGAGUCUAUUCGUGAAAUCUAUGUUUCUGUAUUUGUACUCAAUUAUCUUUUUGAUAAUAAUUUUUUCGUUUAUCUUGUAAACUUAUAGGCUGUGAUGCAUUCUUAUAUUACUGUCCAGUUCAAGCCCCAACUCUAGUCUAGAGAAAGUAGCUCUAGUUCAAAACACAGAUCUGUUAUCUGAAGUUGCUUCAUCAUCUCCCUUUUAUAUUUGUCAUUCAUCAUUCCAUUUUUCCCAUGUAAAUCAGGCCCUCUGCAUAUAAAUAUAUUGUUAAAAAUCUAGUGAUGACUCACUUGGACUUUUAGAAAAUUCCAUGCUGUUGAAAGUAUUGGUUUUUGCUAGUUCAAUUGUCAAGCCGACAGCGGUUAAACUUUUUACAUAUUUUGCAGUCAAUUUGUAAUUGUUUUGAAGAUUGUAUUUUUGUAUGGAACUUGAGGGAAUCAUCUUAUUGUCAUCAAGUUGUCGUAUAACACAUUCUGCAGUCAAUUCCUAUCCUUGCUGCUUUCCCUUUCUUUGGUAGGUUGGAAAAGCAAUGUCUUUUUAGUUUUCCAAUCCAUUUGCCGUUAUCGAAAAAAAAUUGUUAUGUGUG